This 274-nucleotide ribosomal RNA is filed under the name uncultured bacterium. Its description in RNAcentral is "partial 16S ribosomal RNA". It matches the Rfam family "Bacterial small subunit ribosomal RNA", at positions 523 to 796 of the family's 1533-position model. The record is from RNAcentral.
AUACGGAGGGGGCUAGCGUUGUUCGGAAUUACUGGGCGUAAAGCGCACGUAGGCGGAUUAAAAAGUUAGAGGUGAAAUCCCAGGGCUUAACCCUGGAACUGCCUUUAAAACUAGUAGUCUAGAGUUCGAGAGAGGUGAGUGGAAUUCCAAGUGUAGAGGUGAAAUUCGUAGAUAUUUGGAGGAACACCAGUGGCGAAGGCGGCUCACUGGCUCGAUACUGACGCUGAGGUGCGAAAGCGUGGGGAGCAAACAGGAUUAGAAACCCCAGUAGUCC